GCCAGUGAUAGUUCAUUUGUCACGUUUGGCCAAGGCUGGUAUGCGCCAUCAAUGCAUUCGGAGAGGGAAUGGUGUGGAUUCAAGCUGGGUGUUCGAAAAGGAGCAGGGCUUACCGACAAAGAAGAAACCGCACUAUUAACUAUAACCCCCUCAGUGAAGCACAUGAGACCGGUGACUAAGGCUGAUGUAAAUGCAAGUAAACCACCUGAUGUGUACACAAGAUACAAUGGCAUGAAGUACAAACCCAUCAGGUGUAUACAAACAAAUAAUACGUCUGGGGAUUUCAACAAGAGACAAGUGGAUGGCAAUAAUCAGAACAGUGCAGGAGCAACCUAUCCAAUGCAACGCACACAGUUCUUGGCGAACAAACACAAAGGCUUCCCUCCAGGAAUUUGUUCUGCCCCGGAUGGUGCUGGAAAUACGGCUUCAGCAAACACGGAACGUACUCGAACAACGGCUAAUAGUAGACAACAGCAAAAUGAACAUGGUCUUAUCGAAGCAAGGCCAGCCUUCUUUAAAGAAGGACAUACACUAUAUAAAGAGGCAGUAACACUUCAUAUUGACACGUU
Molecule: long non-coding RNA, 569 nt
Organism: Sycon ciliatum
Lineage: Eukaryota; Metazoa; Porifera; Calcarea; Leucosolenida; Sycettidae
Exons: 3
Source: RefSeq, a predicted model, not a curated record